CUCACUGCAACCUCCGCCUCCUGGGUUCAAACAAUUCUGCCUCAGCCUCCGGAGUAGCUGGGAUUACAGGCGCGCGCCACUAUGCCCGGCUAAUUUUUGUGUUUUUAGUAAAGACGGGGUUUCACCAUGUCGGCCAGGCUGUUCUCGAACUCCUGACCUCGUGAUCCCUCCGUCUCGGCUUCCCAAAGUGCUGGGAUUACGGGCGUGAGCCACCGUGCCCGGCCGCAGCCUUGUUUUGACUGAGUCAGUGGGAGCCAUUACUGUUCCUAAAUGUAAACUGGCGUGACAGGAGUUCCGGGAUUGUCCACAGCACGGUGAUGUGGAAGCCCUGGGGAGAGAAUGAUAAAGAAAGGGGAUGAGGAACAGCUCCACCCGGAAGAGCGGGCUUCCCUAGCAAAUGAAUCUGGAAGGGCGCAGGGGAGGGGGCACGGCGAGUUCAGAUGGACCGAGGCUGGAAGCUGACGCGGACUCUGAUACAACUAUCCAGUCCGCUGCAGGGACCGGUCACUGUGUCACAGCUGGAGUGCAAUGAUGUGAUCUCUGUCUCAGCCCACAGCAGCUUCAACCUCCCAGGCUCAAGUGAUCCUCCUGCCUCAGCUACGCAGUGUAUGGGAUGGUGGCAGCUCACAGCCUCAGGAGAAGUGUUUUGAGUGCCUGUUCCUCUAGGUCCUCGCCCGCCCAGGACAUCACCACUCUUGUUAAUUUCAUUGUGUCUAGGUAGUGAAAAAGUGUAGUUUCUCAUUCUUUCAAAUUGCAUUUCCCAAUUAUUAGAGUUUGAAUCUUUUUGUCUGUUUACUGAUGUUGGAAUUUUUAUUGAGUAUUCAACUCAAUUGAUUACU
This 839-nucleotide long non-coding RNA is filed under the name Homo sapiens (human). RNAcentral describes it as "long non-coding RNA NONHSAT180571.1". The record is from RNAcentral. Lineage: Eukaryota; Metazoa; Chordata; Mammalia; Primates; Hominidae.